This 293-nucleotide ribosomal RNA is filed under the name uncultured bacterium. RNAcentral describes it as "partial 16S ribosomal RNA". It matches the Rfam family "Archaeal small subunit ribosomal RNA", at positions 455 to 747 of the family's 1478-position model. The record is from RNAcentral.
GUGCCAGCCGCGGCGGUAAUACCGGCAGCCCGAGUGAUGACCGAUCUUAUUGGGCCUAAAGCGUCCGUAGCUGGCUGCGCAAGUCCGUCGGGAAAUCCACUCGCCCAACGAGUGGGCGUCCGACGGAAACUGCACAGCUUGGGACCGGGAGGCCUGAGGGGUACGAUCGGGGUAGGAGUGAAAUCCUGUAAUCCCGCGCGGACCGCCGAUGGGGAAACCACCUCAGGAGAACGGAUCCGACAGUGAGGGACGAAAGCCAGGGUCUCGAACCGGAUUAGAUACCCUUGUAGUCC